RNAcentral lists this small nucleolar RNA (130 nucleotides) under Castor canadensis (American beaver). RNAcentral describes it as "Small nucleolar RNA SNORA42/SNORA80 family (ENSCCNG00000018855.1)". It matches the Rfam family "Small nucleolar RNA SNORA42/SNORA80 family". Rfam says of the family: The members of this family belong to the H/ACA class of snoRNAs that guide the sites of modification of uridines to pseudouridines. Human ACA42 (SNORA42) was cloned from HeLa cells by immunoprecipitation with anti-GAR1 antibody. Lineage: Eukaryota; Metazoa; Chordata; Mammalia; Rodentia; Castoridae. The record is from RNAcentral.
GCAUGGGUUUGGAUUUCUGGCAAGCCCAUCCCCCUGAGCCUCUUAUAGUGUCCCAUGCCAGAGGAAACUGUAGCUCAGAACCACUGCCUGGCCUCUGCCUGUAGGCUGCUGGUACCGAAAUGGGUUGGGG